RNAcentral lists this small nucleolar RNA (157 nucleotides) under Ornithorhynchus anatinus (platypus). Lineage: Eukaryota; Metazoa; Chordata; Mammalia; Monotremata; Ornithorhynchidae. The record is from RNAcentral.
CCCCUCCCAGGGUCGCACUUGGAGAGUUUCCAGUACUGGAGAGUUUCCAGGUAACUCUACAAGUCUUGACUACAGAAGGGAGAGUCAAGCAGAGGCCUACCCAUUCCAUUCCUAGCUUGCCCAGUGGCUAGCGAGUGGAAGGCAAUCUGCUACAAGU